CAAACCGCGACCGAAAUGAAGCGCGACCGAAACGAAGCGCGACCGAAAUUAUCUGUAUUCGUUUUUUGCACGAAACCACCCCAAGUAUUUCGCUGUUUUUACAAAAACUAUAUUGCCGACAUAUAAACAUUUAUGGAAAAACAUAAAAAUGUUUUAUCAACACUCUGUAGAGUGUGUGGCACGAAACUUAACAAAGAUGGUGGAAGGAGUAAAGAUGUGAACAAAUACCGUACUGGCUACAACUUGGUGUUAGCAGAGACAGUGAUUUAAACAGAUAUCCUCAAUCAUUCUGUAAUCUCUGCUACAUUAAGCUUGUAGUCCAGAAAAAAGAUGUUCAACUGAAGGAAUGGCCUGCGCAUAGGCGAGUCGGAACGUGAGAGGUUUGCAAUGACACAUUUAAAAAAGGUGGGCAGCCAAAAAAAAUGAACAGAGGUUUAGGAGCACCAGAGUGCAAGAGAAGGAUGGCACAUACAUCAUCAGUUGCCACACAUUUCUCCUCAAUUGAUACCAUGCUUAUAAACAUUCCAGAUUCCUACACCAUCAUUGGUUCUUUGAGUCCAUUCAUGUGUUGUGUUUGUAAUGUAGUGUGUGUAUGUCCUGUUGAGUUACUGUGUCACCAUGUUGCUUGCAAAGCGUGUGUUCAGUCAUUUUUUGUAGAUAAUGAUGUAAUGUCGUGUCCGUCUUGUUCAGUUGAAUCACAUUACAAGUCUGUCACUGCUGUACCUGAUCUGUACAAUGUUACAUGUCAGUUAUUGUAAAAUGUAAUACAUGUCAAUGUCAGUUGCAAUGUCAAAAUUGUAACACACAUGUACAGUAUGUGUCUUACAACAAGAACACACUUAUGCUAAACAACAUACCAACGAUUCCUUUCAAGCCAUCCUUCAACAGCCUCUGGAUGCUUCUAUCACAAGUGAGAUGGAAAAUUUAGGUCACCAUCUCAUGCAACAAAAAUCGAGGAAAUCAAAAGAUGGGGUGGUGACAUUUAUAUCAGGGGGAAAGACAAUCAAAUAUUUUAAAAUUCCAAAUGUGAGAGUAGAAUCAGAUGCAACAUCAAAAAAAAAAAAAGACAAAAGAACAAAUCAAGUCAAGAAAUUCCGUUCGAUGAUUAGCGGAUCCGAAGAAGCAACCAAUGAGCAAUAUCGCCAUGAAAUUUCGGGUCUGCAAGGCGAACUAAAGGACAUACUUCGUACCCCCUUUCGGAUGCCACAUGGUAACAUCAUGUCCAUGAAGGCACAUUUGGGUCUGAGUGGAACAAGAACGAGAGUAUUGAAAAGAUGGUUAGCAAAAUAUCAGAUACAAUGUGAGAGUGAGGCCAGCAUCCACAGACAGGAGAGCCGAGUAAUCAAUGACAACUUGCUAAAAGAAUAUCUCCCCCUUUUGGUAAAGGACGAGAAAACAGAAGAAAUGCUAUUGACUAAUGUCCCACUUGUAGUUGUUAAAAAUUUGGCAGAAAAAGUUCGGGAAAUGCUAGACCAACUAGACAGCCUUGAUUUACUCACCUGGCAUAAUGGAUUAAUUCCAGAUAACCAAAUAUGGCUAAAGCUAGGUGGAGACAAAGGUGGAGGGACAUUCAAAUGAUCCAGAGUGGAAAUGUUGAGCAUCCGAACUCUUUGCAGAAUACAGUCACUAUAUUAAUUUGGGAGGCGGGUGACUGCACAUACAAUUUGAAAACCGGUAUGGCGAGGAUAAAGCAGCAGGCAGAAGACCUCAAAUCGAUGAUGUGGAAGCUAGAAAACUCGGAGACAUUCUACUGUUAUAGUUGUGGCAGAGUAACGCUUCUCUCCGACACGACAGAUUUUGAGCCUGCGGCCAUCGGAUGUUCUGAUUUAUACUAAAUGUUUUCCUACAGCACCAGUAUUUUUGGGCCAUUUCGAAAAUGUGCCUUGAGGCCAGACAAUGCUUAAUCCGGCACUGGUUAUGAUACUCUUUUUCAGUGGGAAAGAAAUGCACCUGUUUGCGUUUGGAGACAUGAGUAUGAAUGUCGUAUUUACGGAUUAUCAGGAGCAAGUGGUCGUCACAUUUGCCUUUAUUGCUUGGCAACCAAGACACAAGAUGGUGAAGAGAGGACACUAGCC
RNA transcript from Anneissia japonica, 2075 nucleotides. RefSeq lists it as uncharacterized. The record is from RefSeq and is a predicted model, not a curated record. NCBI's taxonomy places the organism in Eukaryota, Metazoa, Echinodermata, Crinoidea, Comatulida, Comatulidae. The transcript has 9 exons.